GGGUUGUGAGGUUAAGCGACUAAGCGUACACGGUGGAUGCCCUGGCAGUCAGAGGCGAUGAAGGACGUGCUAAUCUGCGAAAAGCGCCGGCGAGGUGAUAUGAACCUUUGACCCGGCGAUGUCCGAAUGGGGAAACCCAGUGCAAUCCGUUGCACUAUCGUUAACUGAAUACAUAGGUUAACGAGGCGAACCGGGGGAACUGAAACAUCUAAGUACCCCGAGGAAAAGAAAUCAACCGAGAUUCCCCCAGUAGCGGCGAGCGAACGGGGAGCAGCCCGGAGUCUGAAUCAGCUUGUGUGUUAGUGGAACGGUCUGGAAAGUCCGACGGUACAGGGUGAUAGUCCCGUACACGAAAGCACACUUGCUGUGAACUCGAAGAGUAGGGCGGGACACGUGGUAUCCUGUCUGAAUAUGGGGGGACCAUCCUCCAAGGCUAAAUACUCCUGACUGACCGAUAGUGAACCAGUACCGUGAGGGAAAGGCGAAAAGAACCCCGGCGAGGGGAGUGAAAAAGAACCUGAAACCGUGUACGUACAAGCAGUGGGAGCCUCUUUAUGGGGUGACUGCGUACCUUUUGUAUAAUGGGUCAGCGACUUAUAUUCUGUAGCAAGGUUAACCGUAUAGGGGAGCCGAAGGGAAACCGAGUCUUAACUGGGCGUUAAGUUGCAGGGUAUAGACCCGAAACCCGGUGAUCUAGCCAUGGGCAGGUUGAAGGUUGGGUAACACUAACUGGAGGACCGAACCGACUAAUGUUGAAAAAUUAGCGGAUGACCUGUGGCUGGGGGUGAAAGGCCAAUCAAACCGGGAGAUAGCUGGUUCUCCCCGAAAGCUAUUUAGGUAGCGCCUCGUGAACUCAUCUUCGGGGGUAGAGCACUGUUUCGGCUAGGGGGCCAUCCCGGCUUACCAACCCGAUGCAAACUACGAAUACCGAAGAAUGUUAUCACGGGAGACACACGGCGGGUGCUAACGUCCGUCGUGAAGAGGGAAACAACCCAGACCGCCAGCUAAGGUCCCAAAGUCAUGGUUAAGUGGGAAACGAUGUGGGAAGGCACAGACAGCCAGGAUGUUGGCUUAGAAGCAGCCAUCAUUUAAAGAAAGCGUAAUAGCUCACUGGUCGAGUCGGCCUGCGCGGAAGAUGUAACGGGGCUAAACCAUGCACCGAAGCUGCGGCAGCGACGCUUAGGCGUUGUUGGGUAGGGGAGCGUUCUGUAAGCCGUUGAAGGUGUGCUGUGAGGCAUGCUGGAGGUAUCAGAAGUGCGAAUGCUGACAUAAGUAACGAUAAAGCGGGUGAAAAGCCCGCUCGCCGGAAGACCAAGGGUUCCUGUCCAACGUUAAUCGGGGCAGGGUGAGUCGACCCCUAAGGCGAGGCCGAAAGGCGUAGUCGAUGGGAAACAGGUUAAUAUUCCUGUACUUGGUGUUACUGCGAAGGGGGGACGGAGAAGGCUAUGUCAGCCGGGCGACGGUUGUCCCGGUUUAAGCAUGUAGGCGGAGGUUCCAGGUAAAUCCGGUACCUUAUUAACGCUGAGGUGUGAUGACGAGGCACUACGGUGCUGAAGUGAUAAAUGCCCUGCUUCCAGGAAAAGCCUCUAAGCAUCAGGUAACACGAAAUCGUACCCCAAACCGACACAGGUGGUCAGGUAGAGAAUACCAAGGCGCUUGAGAGAACUCGGGUGAAGGAACUAGGCAAAAUGGUGCCGUAACUUCGGGAGAAGGCACGCUGAUAUGUAGGUGAAGUCCCUGCGGACGGAGCUGAAAUCAGUCGAAGAUACCAGCUGGCUGCAACUGUUUAUUAAAAACACAGCACUGUGCAAACACGAAAGUGGACGUAUACGGUGUGACGCCUGCCCGGUGCCGGAAGGUUAAUUGAUGGGGUUAGCGGCAACGCGAAGCUCUUGAUCGAAGCCCCGGUAAACGGCGGCCGUAACUAUAACGGUCCUAAGGUAGCGAAAUUCCUUGUCGGGUAAGUUCCGACCUGCACGAAUGGCGUAAUGAUGGCCAGGCUGUCUCCACCCGAGACUCAGUGAAAUUGAACUCGCUGUGAAGAUGCAGUGUACCCGCGGCAAGACGGAAAGACCCCGUGAACCUUUACUAUAGCUUGACACUGAACACUGGUCCUUGAUGUGUAGGAUAGGUGGGAGGCUUUGAAGCGUGGACGCCAGUCUGCGUGGAGCCAACCUUGAAAUACCACCCUUUAAUGGCUGGUGUUCUAACGUAGACCCGUAAUCCGGGUUGCGGACAGUGUCUGGUGGGUAGUUUGACUGGGGCGGUCUCCUCCCAAAGAGUAACGGAGGAGCACGAAGGUUGGCUAAUCCUGGUCGGACAUCAGGAGGUUAGUGCAAUGGCAUAAGCCAGCUUGACUGCGAGCGUGACGGCGCGAGCAGGUGCGAAAGCAGGUCAUAGUGAUCCGGUGGUUCUGAAUGGAAGGGCCAUCGCUCAACGGAUAAAAGGUACUCCGGGGAUAACAGGCUGAUACCGCCCAAGAGUUCAUAUCGACGGCGGUGUUUGGCACCUCGAUGUCGGCUCAUCACAUCCUGGGGCUGAAGUAGGUCCCAAGGGUAUGGCUGUUCGCCAUUUAAAGUGGUACGCGAGCUGGGUUUAGAACGUCGUGAGACAGUUCGGUCCCUAUCUGCCGUGGGCGCUGGAGAAUUGAGGGGGGCUGCUCCUAGUACGAGAGGACCGGAGUGGACGCAUCACUGGUGUUCGGGUUGUCAUGCCAAUGGCACUGCCCGGUAGCUAAAUGCGGAAGAGAUAAGUGCUGAAAGCAUCUAAGCACGAAACUUGCCCCGAGAUGAGUUCUCCCUGAGAC
Molecule: ribosomal RNA, 2806 nt
Filed under: Enterobacter hormaechei
Lineage: Bacteria; Pseudomonadati; Pseudomonadota; Gammaproteobacteria; Enterobacterales; Enterobacteriaceae
Description: partial 23S ribosomal RNA
Rfam family: Bacterial large subunit ribosomal RNA
Source: RNAcentral